This 21-nucleotide non-coding RNA is filed under the name Mus musculus (house mouse). Lineage: Eukaryota; Metazoa; Chordata; Mammalia; Rodentia; Muridae. The record is from RNAcentral.
GUUGUCUUCAUUCUGUGGGAA